UCUCCGUUGGUGAACCAGCGGAGGGAUCAUUACCGAGUUUACAACUCCCAAACCCAAUGUGAACGUUACCAAACUGUUGCCUCGGCGGGAUCUCUGCCCCGGGUGCGUCGCAGCCCCGGACCAAGGCGCCCGCCGGAGGACCAACCCAAAACUCUUAUUGUAUACCCCCUCGCGGGUUUUUUUUAUAAUCUGAGCCUUCUCGGCGCCCCUUCGUGGGCGUUUCGAAAAUGAAUCAAAACUUUCAACAACGGAUCUCUUGGUUCUG
RNAcentral lists this unclassified non-coding RNA (265 nucleotides) under soil metagenome. RNAcentral describes it as "partial contains small subunit ribosomal RNA, internal transcribed spacer 1, and 5.8S ribosomal RNA". The record is from RNAcentral.